Molecule: non-coding RNA, 248 nt
Organism: Pelobates cultripes (western spadefoot toad)
Lineage: Eukaryota; Metazoa; Chordata; Amphibia; Anura; Pelobatidae
Source: the annotation of a GenBank genome assembly
GUCUAAUUGAGUAAUAUUAUGAUCUGUUCUUGUUGGGUGAGGGGGAAUUGCAUAGUAAUACAGUUAUUUCUGUUGAUAAUUCUAGUUAUUUAUACCUAUGGAAGCACAAAUUGUAAAGCAAGCAUGCAUUAAUAAUGUAAUUAAUCAUUAAGCGACGAGAGGUAAUUUAAAAUUAAAAAUGUUUCUGCCCGGUUUCGAACCGGGGACCUUUCGCGUGUGAGGCGAACGUGAUAACCACUACACUACAG